UCAAAACAGCGGCCUUCGGGCCUCGCUGCACCCUUGUCUUUUGCGCACCGUAUUGGUUCCUCGGCGGGCUUGCCUGCCGGUUGGACAUCAUAAAACCUUUUUGUAGUUGCAAUCAGCGUCAGAAAAACAAUAAUUAUUA
RNAcentral lists this unclassified non-coding RNA (139 nucleotides) under soil metagenome. Its description in RNAcentral is "partial internal transcribed spacer 1". The record is from RNAcentral.